This 73-nucleotide transfer RNA is filed under the name Giardia muris. It matches the Rfam family "tRNA". Rfam says of the family: Transfer RNA (tRNA) molecules are approximately 80 nucleotides in length. The record is from Rfam by way of RNAcentral. Lineage: Eukaryota; Fornicata; Diplomonadida; Hexamitidae.
GGCGUCGUGGCCUAGUGGCGAGGGCGUCGGGCUCAUAACUCGAAGGUCGAAGGUUCGAUUCCUUCCGACGCCA